AGUUGUUGUGGUUAAAAGCUCGUAGUUGAACCUUGGGCCUGGCUGGCCGGUCCGCCUCACCGCGUGUACUGGUCCGGCCGGGCCUUUCCCUCUGUGGAACCCCAUGCCCUUCACUGGGUGUGGCGGGGAAACAGGACUUUUACUUUGAAAAAAUUAGAGUGCUCCAGGCAGGCCUAUGCUCGAAUACAUUAGCAUGGAAUAAUAGAAUAGGACGUGUGGUUCUAUUUUGUUGGUUUCUAGGACCGCCGUAAUGAUUAAUAGGGGCAGUCGGGGGCAUCAGUAUUCAAUUGUCAGAGGUGAAAUUCUUGGAUUUAUUGAAGACUAACUACUGCGAAAGCAUUUGCCAAGGAUGUUUUCAUUAAUCAGGAACGAAAGUUAGGGGAUCGAAGACGAUCAGAUACCGUCGUAGUCUUAACCAUAAACUAUGCCGACUAGGGAUCGGACGAUGUUAUUUUUUGACUCGUUCGGCACC
RNAcentral lists this ribosomal RNA (472 nucleotides) under uncultured fungus. RNAcentral describes it as "SSU rRNA". It matches the Rfam family "Eukaryotic small subunit ribosomal RNA", at positions 608 to 1087 of the family's 1831-position model. The record is from RNAcentral. Lineage: Eukaryota; Fungi.